CAGUCGCCGCGGUAAUACGAAGGGGGCUAGCGUUGCUCGGAAUUACUGGGCGUAAAGGGAGCGUAGGCGGAUCGUUUAGUCAGGGGUGAAAUCCCGGGGCUCAACCUCGGAACUGCCUUUGAUACUGGCGAUCUUGAGUAUGGGAGAGGUGUGUGGAACUCCGAGUGUAGAGGUGAAAUUCGUAGAUAUUCGGAAGAACACCAGUGGCGAAGGCGACACACUGGCCCAUUACUGACGCUGAGGCUCGAAAGCGUGGGGAGCAAACAGGAUUAGAUACCCGGGUAGUCCCUGUCUCUUAUAC
This 301-nucleotide ribosomal RNA is filed under the name uncultured bacterium. RNAcentral's name for it is "partial 16S ribosomal RNA". It matches the Rfam family "Bacterial small subunit ribosomal RNA", at positions 509 to 807 of the family's 1533-position model. The record is from RNAcentral.